RNAcentral lists this ribosomal RNA (497 nucleotides) under uncultured bacterium. RNAcentral describes it as "partial 16S ribosomal RNA". It matches the Rfam family "Bacterial small subunit ribosomal RNA", at positions 28 to 507 of the family's 1533-position model. The record is from RNAcentral.
GAUGAACGCUGGCGGCGUGCCUAAUACAUGCAAGUCGAGCGAACAGACGAGGAGCUUGCUCCUCUGACGUUAGCGGCGGACGGAUGAGUAACACGUGGAUAACCUACCUAUAAGACUGGGAUAACUUCGGGAAACCGGAGCUAAUACCGGAUAAUAUAUUGAACCGCAUGGUUCAAUAGUGAAAGACGGUUUUGCUGUCACUUAUAGAUGGAUCCGCGCCGCAUUAGCUAGUUGGUAAGGUAACGGCUUACCAAGGCAACGAUGCGUAGCCGACCUGAGAGGGUGAUCGGCCACACUGGAACUGAGACACGGUCCAGACUCCUACGGGAGGCAGCAGUAGGGAAUCUUCCGCAAUGGGCGAAAGCUUGACGGAGCAACGCCGCGUGAGUGAUGAAGGUCUUCGGAUCGUAAAACUCUGUUAUUAGGGAAGAACAAAUGUGUAAGUAACUAUGCACGUCUUGACGGUACCUAAUUAGAAAGCCACGGCUAACUACGUG